AAGGGGUUGCUGGAAUACCCUGAAGCAACCUGAAAAUAUGCAAAAUUCUUUCACUUUCACAGUAAGAGUUACAUUUUUAAUACAGUUUCAGUAACAAUUCCUCCUAUAAUAAUUUUCCUGCAGAAAAUUAUGAAUGUUUAUUCUUCUAAUUAAAAAAUAUAUCUAAUGCACGUUUUCAUGAUAGAAAGUAUACCAGAGUAAUCUUUGCCUUCAGGUCAUAACACUUGAGCCAGAAGUGGAGAGUUGACUGAACUGAAAUUCUCCUAAUAAGCCACAGAAAAGUGACUAAUACAAUGAUAAUCUCUGCAGCUGUUGCUGGAACCAUCAGCACUAUCUGAGACUGAAUAUUAUUACUAUUCAUCAUCAAUAUCCUCUGCCUCAGGAUGUCAUUUCUAAGGUGCCAGAUGGACACAGGACUCUCUUGAGGAUUCAUCUCAAGAUCUCCAUCUAUUCAAGGAGUUAUCUGCCUCCUGAGAUCUAUCUAAGCUGCUAAAAAAAAUGUUGAAGAGGUUUUAUCAUUUUGAAUAUCAUGUAACAAAGAUAUUACAAUAGCAUGGUCUCGAAAGCAUUCUUUGCUGCAUAAUCGUGAGAAAUGAACCAAAGCAAGAGCUUGCCAUCUCCACACUGAUGUUGCAUCCAAACCCCUGGCUGCCAAAUCAAGCUUGCUGCUAUCGUACUGAAUUUUCUUUCUUGUGAGUGUGAUCAGCUUGAGGAGUCUUUUGGGAAAGCCCUGAAGAGAGAAUCAGGGAAGAAGGUACUGCAGGGCAGGCGCAGAGAGAUUGAGAAGUGGCCGAGUCACCCUGUUUGAAAACCAAUCCAUAUCUAAUAAGUGAAUCCUUGUCACAGCCCUGGAAGAGAAUUCUCAACAUUUCAAUAGCUCUGGCUGGAGGAGUCCAUAAUAUUCUGAAUAUCUCCAGGCAUCCACAGAGCCAAGGCCACUUCUGCCUUUUCUAGUGCUGCACUGCUGAGGAGAAUGGGGGUGCCGGGGAGGUUGAAAGGACACACCCUGGACACGUGACCCCAGUUGACCAGAGGGGUACUCCAGACCUCAUGACAUCAUGGUCAGCGUCACACGUGGUGGGGCCGUGCUCUCCUGGAGAUGGCUGAACACCUGCUUGCCCAUGGAAGAUAUGUCUCCAGCACUGACUACUUGGACUCCAUAUUACUUUGCACUUCUAAGCUACUGUGAUUCCAAUUCUACAGGAACAAGACUGAGACGCCUGCACAAAAAUAACGUGUGAGAUCUGCUAUGUAUCUCCAUCUAUGUAGAGGUAGAAAGUGAUACAGGUCCAGCAGAAGAAGACUGUGAGUGCUGGUGAUCACUCAUUCGUAUGGAAGUGCUGUUGGCAGCUCUGCAGAAGAGGCAGCCUAGGUAAGGGUACCUGUAACUAAUCCAUCAGUCAGCUGGCAAAGCAGAACACAGGGUUGUUUGUCAAGAUUUUUUUCAAGGGCUUAAGGCUUGUUGUUCUAGACAGGAAAAAAGACAGAAAAAGAAUAAGAUGUGGAAGAAAAAUUCUACCUAAGUAAAACUUGGAGGAUUUUGGUCGGUUCAUUAACGAAACACCACAAGAAGGCAAUAAAACCACGUUGGGCAGCAGAGGACUGUAGGAAGUUGAAACAGGGAAAGGCAUGUAGGCAUGUAGCCUUUCUGUCUCAUCUACUGUGAGUUCUUUUCCAAGUUCAUGGUUCAAAUUCAAUAGGAUAAGGUCUUUUGUUUGACAUGGCAGUCUGGAUUGAAUUUGCAGACUGGUCAUUACAUAUGACAGCACUGGCAUUAGUUGCCAGCUGUUGUCAAGGCUUCAGUUAUGCAGCACAUGCAUCCCCACUGCCCCUGAGAGCAUUUGUCCCACUUGCCUUCUCAACCCCUCACUAGAGCCCACACUAGCAGCACUCAUACUUUCUCCACCAGAAAAAAGAAUACAGUGGGUUUUUCAGGGCACUUGAAGUAGUGCAAAACACUGGAGAAAUCAAUAAUCCAGAAACAUGCCUUUAUAACAUGAAGGGUGAGCUCUGUGGUCACACACCAAGAACCAAGUGUGCCAUGUACAGCAUGCUGAAGGCCUAACCAAGUUCCUUUCCAUCCCAAACUGGUGGCAACAGUGCAAAUAGGAGGCAUAAUACAUCUUCUGGAGAAUCUACCACAUCUCUGUCUCAUUUUCCCCCAAAAGAGUGAGGCUCUUCAUAGAUGCAGCAGUGCAGUGCCAGUAGUAUGUGUGGCACCAAAGCAAUCAAGCUGCAACAACAGAUAGGAAAGAAUCUCCUCUUUGCUCCCCCUCUGGCAUAUCUACACCUAUAUAAUUAAAUGUCAGAAUUGGUUCUUAUGGAAAAAUGAGAACCUGGAAGUUUUGGAUUUCUCCCAUAAUCCAUAUGACUGGAAUACCUUCAUCAUCUCUGUGUUGGGCCUUCUGUUACUUCAGAACCAAUCUAUUUUUAUUUAUGCCUUUUUUGAAAAUAUGAAAAAGUGGGGAAAAUAAUCAGUGAAAAACUCAGCUUCCUGAAAACCUCUCAGCUGCCUGAAAAAAGAUUUAGCUGAGCAAACUUCAGCUUCUUUCUGGAUUCUUUCUGCACUGUAUAGGUGCAGAUUAAAUACAAGCUGUUUCAAAACCUGACACUAUGUACCAGGUAUAAUGAGUUGCAUACUAUGCUCUGUUUUCCUUACCUAUUAAGUAUAAACCACAGCUCAAUGCAGUUAAUAUAGACUGAAAUUCGAAUUCUUCACAGAAUUCUUAGUAAAUUUAAUUUAAAAAAACAGUCUACUUUCACUAAGAUACUUCUUAGAGCUCCAAAGAAAAUCCAAAGUAUAUCUGGACUGAUAAUGGAAGACAAUAAUUUGCUCCUGGAGUAUCAGUUCAAGUCCAGCCCAGACUGGUGGUAACCUGAAAUUUUUAUCUUCUUGAAGUUACCUGAUCACAUUAUUCCCUAUAGACAAGUGUGUCCAUCAGAAAUAUGCAACAGCUGGCACAGAUCGGCUUCUUGCUGGCAUUUGCAAGAGUGAGGAUGGGGUAGGAGUGUGGUUGGGAUCUAAAUUAUUCCUCCCUCGAGGUGGUCUGGCCAACAGGGAUAGAGGCACUUAAUUUGAAAGGGAAACUUGAACUUUGUAGUUAAUGGAUGAAUAAAUGGAAGACUUCAGUCUACAGGACUGUCAGAUUGUUAGUUUUCACAAACACUUAAAUCAAAUACCACAUCUGAGGGGAAGAAAUUAAGAUGUAAAUAUCCAGGAGCCAGUGCCAAGACCAGUGAGAUCAGAAAACAGAUUUGCACUAUUUUGCUUCUGUGCCUCAAAAUAUCAAGAUCUUAUUGCCUGUAAAGAUGGUUUGUCAUGUUUUUAAAAAGGUUCAAAGGACAUAAAAUGUUUAUCCUCUGAUCUGCCCACAAAAUAAAUUUUUACAAAAGACACAUAAAAAUGGCUUCUCUAAAAAUUCAGAUAUUUAUUUAGAGAGGGGUUAAUUGGACACUACUGUUGCCAUCAACAGCAGUUUCUCUCUGCUGUUCAUGAGCACUUUCCUGAAAAUUACAAGCAGCCCACUCCUGUGUCUGGUGUGUAUACUUACUGAUGAAUCAUGCCAGUCAAAUAUAGAGUGCUCUGAGUGACCACUGCAUGAGUCUGAAAAAAAAUAUUGGACAUUUCAUAAGUUUACCCUGAACUAUUUUAAAAUUCAAUAGCCAAGACAUAUUUGUACCAAUAUAACGUAAACAUUCAUUGGACUCCUGAGCUGGUAAGGAAAUGAGUCUGUUGCUUUCUGGGCUGGCUGUGCAGGGCAGAGCUGUCAGCUCCAGCAGGGUCACCUGCUAGCACAGGCUUCACUGACAUCCAGGGCACUUCAUGGCCCAGGAAGGUGAGCUGCAUUAGUCUACACCGUGGACAUGUAGUCUAUAUUCCUAACUGAAUAUGGAAAGCACCAGCUGUAAGGAAACAUAAAUUGUACAGUUGGUUUGGUUUUGCAUAUCAAAUAUGUGCAGCAUAUUAUUCACAGAUUCCGUUAAUUAAUCCUGAUGAAAUCAUAAUGAGAAAAACAUUAACACUAAUCGAUUUGGAUGAGAUGAAAUUUCAGACCUUCCUGACAUGCUUAUUUGUGGCACAUACCAUAAUAAAAACCAACCAGCCAGCUUUCCACUUGCAAUGUAAGCAUUAGCUUCCCCAAUAGUAAAACAGAAGGUCAGCUUAAAAGUCUCAUUUUCUACAAUCAACAGCAAUGCUUUAAAUGACAUAGAAGAGCAUGCAAGUAUUAGAGCUAUUGUUUCCAUAAAGCUAUUCUGCUGGCGACUAUUCAUAGCCACCCUUUGCCACAUGAUUCCUUUCCUAAGCAGCUUUCCAAUUUAAGUUUCCAUAGGCUACGGUUUGACAGAGUAGCUAGAAGAAUUUGUGCAUGUAUAUUAUGAAGUUUCAUUAUCCUUUUUGCUUUUAUGAAUAGCAUUCCUUAGAGGAUAUGUUCUGUGGGUGCUCUGUGCCAAGGCAGCAUUAUUUUCCCUUCUUGACUAAUGAGGGUUCACCACAGAGAAAUAAAUCACGUUGCGCACUUUGUGCAAAGUUUUUUUGAAAGGCUCGACAGAAGGCAACUUUUGAAAGCAAGCAGUUGGACCUUCAUGAAAGUCCCCCUGGCAAGCAGUAUGAGCCAGCAUAUUUCCUAGGCUGGUCACUGAUUGCCAUGAAAGGCCUUUGGGAGCUCACCAAAAUUCCCUACUUGAAAGGCUUGUGAGUAGUUGCCCAUGACAAACACCAGGAUUGUACAAACAGAAAUCAUAAUCCAAGGCAAAGUCAGGCCCAUAAGACAUUAUCUCUCAGCCAAGUUGGAAGAUAUUGUGUGAUUUCUCACCCAGAGUCUAAUAAUACUCAUUCAAUCAGUCCUUUCCUUCAGUGUUGGGUACUGCUGAAGUUACCCUUUUAUCUUCUCUCUCUCAAGCAAGACCACCUAUUUCUAUUUAAAAUGCAAGUGAGAAAAUCAAAAUGUACCUCCAGGUUUUCAUAUCUAUAUUUUGAUUCUGUAAUACCUCCAACAGAGGAGGUAAAGUGGUGAAUGCAUCAGACUUUUCAGCAGAAAAUGUCAAAGAUGCGGUUUCAUUCUGCAGAGGUAACACAUUGCUUAUUGCAGGGGGUUCUGCAGUCUUCUGGAAAGAAAAAUAGCAGCAAGGUAACCUUGGAAUAAAGUAUCCAUCUUUGACUACCCUGGAAGAGAGUCCUCUUUGGUGAUUUGAAAAGGCUGUGAAAAAGUGUCCACUUCACACUUUCCUCAAAUAUGCACAAAUGGGGGGCUUUUGUCACAGUUUGUCUUUUGUUUUCUUGUAUAUUUGUACUGGUGGCUUGUGAAGGCCUAGAAAUGAGUGUGUAUCAUGUCCAAAGUUUAUAUCCAUCUGUCACCAGCACUAGAGGCUGCUGCAUUUUAAAUCACUUCAGCAUACUGCUUGCACAGUGACUCAGCCCUGACAGGGGUGUCCACCCUGAGGAUGAGAAAAUGAUUCAGUAUUCAUUAGUCUAACUUAAUGCAGUCUCUCCUCAGCAGGAGAACAUCCAAUCAUGUGCCUUAUCUGUGCCUGCUUCUGUGAUUUAUCCACUGAGGAGUGACCUACAAUCAAGAACUUUACUUAAAACCUUUUCACAGGCAGCUAUCUGCCAGUCUGGAGAUAAAGCUAAGCUAAACACCCAUGCUAAUUUCAGACUUUGCUUUUCUUACAAUCUGAGAGCUUUCCAUAAAGUUUUUGAAUAAAAUAAGUCACACAUACUGCCCAUACAUUUUCAAAAAUCAGAGGCAUUCUGUUUCCUAAACUGCUCUUGUGGGGUUUUUUGGUUUUUGUUUUUUUUUUUUUUUUUUUAAUAUUGGAAAAAUGACACUAAUCUUAAUGUAUCAUUCCAGAGAUGUGUGCUCCAAACUGUGCAGGAUUUCAGGAUGGUGUUGCAAUGUAAAAUGAAACCACAAAACACCCCAAGCCUUAUGAACUUUUUCAUUUGUGAAGGUGGAAAAACAGUCUGCUUGACUAAAGAGCUGAGAAAGAGAGAGUGGGUCUAAUUCCAGUACAUUCUUCUCAAAUAAACCUGAAGUUGAAACAUAUUGAAACUCCCUGCAUCAUGAAGCAACCUAAAAUGCUUUCCAAGGGUGUCUGAUUUGAUAACAAGAUGCAAAGAAGGGGAAUAGAAUGACAGACCUGUCAGUCUACCUGUAAAAAGAAGUCUUCUUUCUCUUCCCUGUGCUGACUUUUCCUUGUCAAACUUGUGUUUGCAGGUAGAGGGGUAGAAAAGCAAUAAGCUGGUUUUUUGUUUUUCUUUGCUUUGCUUUCUAUACACUCCCAAAUGAUAUUUUUUCCUAGCCUAGGUUUUUUCCUAGCCUAGGUUAAGCUGCAGUUGUGGAAAUAAUAUUUCCAACAAACAUUCUGAAUCUCAGUAGAUUUUGCCCUGUAGCUUUACAGAGCCUUUAAUUCAGUCAAUAUGUGACAGUUUCAGUUUAGAGAAGGCAGAACAGAAUGCCUUGACCCACAGCAAAGGGGAAACAAGAAGGAUCAGCUCUGAAGAAGACCCAUUUUUUGAGGAUUCUUUGGCCUUAUGUAAAUUAAAAUUCAGAGAGAGGAAAAAUUAUUACAUUUUUUCUUGCCUCAGGGUGAAAUUAUUGGACUCCCAAGGAAGCUAGAUAGAUUUAGAAGAUUCAGGUGCUUUCAAACACCUAGUCAAUUUAUAGAUAGCAGUUUUUCAUAUAAUCCCAUGAUUGAAGAAUAAAUGAAUCUGACAGCCAGCACCUCAGUAAGGUAAGAAAUCAGACUAAUUUUUUUUCCAAUGUCAAGUCAGUGUCAUUUUGGGAAAUAACCCUAUUUGGGAUCAGUUUUCUAAGUUACUUAUUGCUUCAAGAGAAAAAAGGUAGAGAAAGCAACCCGUAAUUAAUAUAAGCAUAAACUUGUUUUGAUUUGUUUCAAUAUCUCUCCCUUCUGUCAAUUCCAAGCACUAUCAGAUGGAGUUAUCAUUAGCUAUGAGAUUAAUUCUCAUAAUUUUUUUUUUCUGCACAUCAUGUAAAGUUAUGAGAUGUUUUUCAAUAAUCUUUUCUUAAAUGUAGAGAAGUUUCUCCUGAUUUGAAGAGUAAUAGAGGGGUUUUGUUGUUGUUUUUUUGGCUUUGAGAUUUUUUUGGUCCAUUACAGAAUGAAGUAAACCCCACAGCACUGAAGGUUAAUGAUGAAAUUGUAUGUGCACUCUACCAUUUCUCUGUCUUCUUUUUUUAUUCUACUCAAUUUCUACUGAGUGUCAUAUAUUUGAAGUAAUUUAGGCUGUUUCCUUGUAACUAACAGAACUUAUGUUUAAAGUAGCUAUUUUAAUUUGUGUGUAUGUGUAUGUGUGUGUGUGUGUGCGCAUGUGCAUGUGUGUAAAGUAAUUGUCUGUAUUGUAUCAGAUAGCGAACUGGAAAUUCCCAAUGUCCCAAAGAUGUCUUGAAGCCCUGCUUUUAAAAAAACAGCUUUAAAAAUCUUGCUUAGCAAGAGUUUACUUCUCUGUAAAAACAACAGAUGAUUUGUAUGCACCUGAACAUUACCAUUUUUAAGACUGCCAGACAAAGCCAGUAAUAAUGAUUUGUAUGUCUGGUAUGUAUUGGUAUUUUUGAACCUUCUGCUUCUCAGAUAAGCAGAUGGGAAAUGGAUGAUUGCUGUGAAGCUCUAUGGAAGCAUAUGAAGCAUAAAGAAACAUAAAUAAAGUGGUGUAAACCAAUGUGUUUAGCUAGCCUCCAGUUUUAACUCCUGCAAGCACUACAGCAAAGAGAUUGGUAACAUAUACUGAUUAAGGCUCAAAGGCAAUAGUCAAUCUGUAAACUACGAUGGACUAUGUAGAACUGUGAUUUUUAUUUUACAUUGAAAACAUGUAAUUGUCAGCAAUUAAAGCCCUAGUAAUAUUUGAGUCAAAAUCCCAAAGCUGAAAAACACUAAAGGGAUCUUUUUGCAUUGCUAUGUGGUUGUCCUUGUUUGUAUGUAAGUGCAAACAGUGCCUUUUUAUUUUUAAGGUUGGUCAAGAACUGAGACAAAUGGGGUGCUUCUUAUGCUUAUUUCACCUCAGUAUGACAGAAAGCUAUGGAUAUUUGAUUUUGUAACCCAUGAAGUAGCAGAAAAUCAUGUGGGAAAUCAUUUAUGCAGUACCUUUCACAAAUGCUUUCUAUCACUUAUGUCAUGUGAAAGUUGCUCACAAAAUACUGCAGAAAAAUGUUGAAACUACUGGUACUGCAAGGCCAGUCUGGAUCAAGAAAGAACAAUGACAUUUUUUCUGCUUUUCUUUCAUAGUUUUGGAGAUUUUUUCCUCCUUUACCUGGGAUUUAGUGUUUUGAAUCAAAUCAGACUGCGCUACUUCUAUCAAUAUCAUAUCUACACCAAGAAGGUUCAGACUUUCCAUUUGCUGACAACCCAUCUGCAGAACAGAAGACAUGUUAUCACACUCAUAUAAUUUGAAUUAAUAAUGCAUCUAAAAUAUGUAGGGAUAAAUAAGGCAAGAAUAAUCACAGUCUCCAACACUGUCUCCUGGCAUGUAUGUUCUUCCACAGCUGUCUUUCCACCUUUGACACCCUUUUCAAGAUUUAUGUUCUGCUCUUUUGCUGUUAUGACUGGCUGUAAAUAAACUAGAUCACUGUAUUCCUGUCAGAAAAUAACACCUGUCUUGAUGACUUAUAACUCUCAAUUUUUGUUU
This is a non-coding RNA of Zonotrichia albicollis (white-throated sparrow), 8638 nucleotides long. The record is from RefSeq and is a predicted model, not a curated record. NCBI's taxonomy places the organism in Eukaryota, Metazoa, Chordata, Aves, Passeriformes, Passerellidae.